CUGCGGAGGACAUUGUCG
RNAcentral lists this ribosomal RNA (18 nucleotides) under Caamembeca oxyphylla. Its description in RNAcentral is "partial 18S ribosomal RNA". Lineage: Eukaryota; Viridiplantae; Streptophyta; Magnoliopsida; Fabales; Polygalaceae. The record is from RNAcentral.